Molecule: ribosomal RNA, 835 nt
Filed under: Tessaracoccus sp.
Lineage: Bacteria; Bacillati; Actinomycetota; Actinomycetes; Propionibacteriales; Propionibacteriaceae
Description: bacterial SSU rRNA
Rfam family: Bacterial small subunit ribosomal RNA
Source: RNAcentral
CUUACCAUGCAGUCGAACGGUAAGGCUCCUUCGGGGGUACACGAGUGGCGAACGGGUGAGUAACACGUGAGUAACCUGCCCUUGACUUCGGGAUAACAUUUGGAAACAGAUGCUAAUACCGGAUAUUCAACUUUGAACACAUGUUUUUGGUUGGAAAGUUCCGGCGGUCAAGGAUGGACUCGCGGCCUAUCAGCUUGUUGGUGAGGUAAUGGCUCACCAAGGCGUCGACGGGUAGCCGGCCUGAGAGGGCGACCGGCCACAUUGGGACUGAGAUACGGCCCAAACUCCUACGGGAGGCAGCAGUGGGGAAUAUUGCACAAUGGGCGAAAGCCUGAUGCAGCAACGCCGCGUGCGGGAUGACGGCCUUCGGGUUGUAAACCGCUUUCAUCCAUGACGAAGCUUUUUGUGACGGUAGUGGGAGAAGAAGCACCGGCUAACUACGUGCCAGCAGCCGCGGUGAUACGUAGGGUGCGAGCGUUGUCCGGAUUUAUUGGGCGUAAAGAGCUUGUAGGCGGUUUGUCACGUCGGGAGUGAAAACUCAGGGCUUAACCCUGAGCCUGCUUCUGAUACGGGCAGACUUGAGGAAGGUAGGGGAGAAUGGAAUUCCUGGUGGAGCGGUGGAAUGCGCAGAUAUCAGGAGGAACACCAGUGGCGAAGGCGGUUCUCUGGACCUUUCCUGACGCUGAGAAGCGAAAGCGUGGGGAGCAAACAGGCUUAGAUACCCUGGUAGUCCACGCCGUAAACGGUGGGUACUAGGUGUGGGGGACAUUCCACGUUCUCCGUGCCGCAGCUAACGCAUUAAGUACCCCGCCUGGGGAGUACGGUCGCAGACAAA